Molecule: long non-coding RNA, 403 nt
Organism: Salvia hispanica
Lineage: Eukaryota; Viridiplantae; Streptophyta; Magnoliopsida; Lamiales; Lamiaceae
Source: RefSeq, a predicted model, not a curated record
UCGAAUAUCAUCGUCCAAAUUUCAAUUCCAAUAGCAUAUAUGGGUGCCAAAGUAAUUAAUACUUUUCUCGAAAUUUUGCUCCUCAUAGUUCUCAUAAUGUCUCCUCAAAUUGUUGUAGCCAGAGAACUUGCACAGACUACCAUUGUUCAUGGUGACGCGACAGAGAUUGAUCCAGCUUACGGGGGGUCCACGUGCUACUACGGCCAACGGGAACCCUGCUACACUCCGCCCACGCCCAACCGACAUCCUUGAGUAUUCAAGCCCGAACUAGAGAUUUUGGCAAUGUAUGAAUGAUAGUAUUAAUUUCAUACAUAUUAUCCACAUUUUAUUUGGUUGUUGACGAUCAUGUUAUAUCUUGUAAUUUUUGGUCCGUGUUAUAUAUAAAAGUUUAUGCGACUUUAUA